CUACGGGUCGCUGCAGUGGGGAAUAUUGGACAAUGGGGGAAACCCUGAUCCAGCAAUGCCGCGUGUGUGAAGAAGGCCUGCGGGUUGUAAAGCACUUUCGGUUGGGAGGACUGCUUCUAGCACUAAUAUUGUUGGAAGUUGACGUUACCUUCAGAAGAAGCACCGGCUAACUCCGUGCCAGCAGCCGCGGUAAUACGGAGGGUGCAAGCGUUAAUCGGAAUUACUGGGCGUAAAGCGCGCGUAGGCGGCUAGAUCAGUCGGGUAUGAAAGCCCCGGGCUUAACCUGGGAACUGCAUCCGAUACUGUCUAGCUUGAGUACAGGAGAGGAGAGUGGAAUUCCACAUGUAGCGGUGAAAUGCGUAGAUAUGUGGAGGAACACCAAUGGCGAAGGCAGCUCUCUGGCCUGAUACUGACGCUGAGGUGCGAAAGCGUGGGAGCAAACAGGAUUAGAUACCCUGGUAGUC
This 464-nucleotide ribosomal RNA is filed under the name uncultured bacterium. Its description in RNAcentral is "partial 16S ribosomal RNA". It matches the Rfam family "Bacterial small subunit ribosomal RNA", at positions 339 to 795 of the family's 1533-position model. The record is from RNAcentral.